CUAAUCCACACAACCAGACAACUUCUGCACAAACUGAAGUUACUGAUGAAGCCAGUGAAGAUGCUGUGGACCGCCAAAGUGAUGUGGUUUCCACCACAACACCCAAUCCCCACAACCAGACCACAUCUGCCCCUACUGAAGCUGAUGGAGCAAGUGAAGAUGAUUCAGAUGAUGAUGAUGCUGCAAGUGAAGAUG
Long non-coding RNA from Clupea harengus (Atlantic herring), 195 nucleotides. RefSeq lists it as uncharacterized. The transcript has 3 exons. NCBI's taxonomy places the organism in Eukaryota, Metazoa, Chordata, Actinopteri, Clupeiformes, Clupeidae. The record is from RefSeq and is a predicted model, not a curated record.